RNAcentral lists this small RNA (27 nucleotides) under Bombyx mori (domestic silkworm). Its description in RNAcentral is "ovarian small RNA-31829". Lineage: Eukaryota; Metazoa; Arthropoda; Insecta; Lepidoptera; Bombycidae. The record is from RNAcentral.
UGACGUUAAUGAAUGUGGCCUUCUUUA